CAGCUUUUUUCUGGGGGAGAUGCUCCAGCAGCACUUGGCAGCAAAUGUUGGGGAUGAAUCCAUAGGAACAGAUAAAUCCACAGUCACUGCCAGGCCCUUUCCAGCACUGAAUUCCCAGCUGAGGGGAGAGGAGCCUCUGAAAUUGGCCCUUCCAGCACAGCAGCUGCUUGGUGCCAGUGCCUGGAACCUGGGAUUGAUCCUGAUUGUCCAGCUCUGGAGUCCCUGAGUGCUGGACUAUGGAAAACAGCCAAGACAGUGGAUGAGCCCUGUGUCACCCGGUGGUUUUGGGCAGGGCACAGCCACUGGCAGUGGGUGUGUCUGGGGAGAGGAGCCACUGCUUCCCUUCCCAGCAAGGUCUGGGAAAGGCAGCCCAGAGGAUGAGGCUUGGGAAGGAGUUGUGAGCUGGGAAGUGGCUCAAAUCAAGUUUAAGUAGCCUUAAACUCCUGGAAUGGUCUGGGUUGGAAGGAACCUUAAAGAUCUUCCUGUUUAACACCCUGCCAUGGUCAGGGACACCCUCCUGGGGUGUGCCUGGAAUCUGCUCUGUGCCGGGCUGGUGGAAUGGGUGGGGUUUUCUCCCUGAGCCCAGUCCUGGGCAAGUUUGGGGCUUCCAUGGGAAGAAGCCUGGGAGCUGCAUUUCCACACCUGGGAGGCUCCAUGCCUGGAAAUGUUUCCAGUUCUGCUAUUUGUUUUUUUCCAAAACCGGGCAUUACAUUUCUCUGAGUGAGGUGGUUUUCCCUGGGUUGUUGGGAUUGCACACUGGGUGUUUAAGGGCUCUGAUGUAUCUUUCUCCUGAAUGGAGGAGUAAGGAAAUGGGGAUGCUCCCAACUGUCACAGAGAUGUGGGAACAGCCCAGUUGCAGUGAGGAAUGUGGUGCCCAGCUCAUGGUGUGCACCCUGAGAUGGUCUUUCUUGUUGUUUAUUUCUUGGAGCCUGUUGGAGUGCUGGCUGGAUUUGGGAGCCAAGUAUCCUGGAGCUGUGAGGCUUUUCCUGUCAGAAAUCCAUGGUGGGGAUGUUUUCCCUGGCUGUCCCAAGUGGAAGGAACAACUUUGGAGUCGUUGCAGCCACAGGCUGGGGAUGCAUCCUCUGAAAACCAGUUCAGGAUUGUUCAUCUGACUCUGCCUCUGACCUGUGACUUCCAGGGACCCUCCUGAUAUCCUGGGUAUUCCCAGGAGAGGAUAUUCCACCACCUGCCUUUUGAGCCAGGAAUUCCAGACCCAGAUGAGGGAGCCAGCCCUGCCGAGGAGGAAGAGGAGGAGGUGUGGGAGGAUGGAGACAGCGGCCACCAAAGGCUGGGGAAGGCACAGGUCCAGCCCUUUGCUCCCACAGGUGGUGCUUUAGGAAAGCCCCUCCAGCCUGGGAAGGUGCUUUUGGCUCCGGACACAUUCCCAGAGCCCAGGAGCAGCAGGACCUGUGCUGUGCCCAGCAGGACAGGAAAAACCACUUAACUCAUCCCACCUUUGCCUAGCUUUGGUGUUUGAGCAGCCAAACCCAACGGGCUCCAGCCUGCACUGGAGGGCCCCUGGUCCUGCCCAGGGUGUGAGGUGAGUCCCCAGCUGUGCCCAGAGUGUCACAAACCCAGAGGGAUCUGCCCUGGGCUCAGGCUGG
Passer montanus (Eurasian tree sparrow) is the source of this 1604-nucleotide long non-coding RNA. RefSeq lists it as uncharacterized. NCBI's taxonomy places the organism in Eukaryota, Metazoa, Chordata, Aves, Passeriformes, Passeridae. The transcript is spliced from 4 exons. The record is from RefSeq and is a predicted model, not a curated record.